GUCCAUUCUUCAGGGACAGGAACUGUUUUAUACUCUGCCUUUCUCACAGCCUACCUGGCACUGUACUGUUCACAUAGUAGAGGUGUUGAUCUCUGUUGAAUGAAUGCUGAGCUGUAGUCUCAAAGGUUACUGAAGACAGCAGAACCCUUCCUACGAAUCUUUGUACCUUUUGUCAUAGCUAUUGUUUUUGAGGCACUCAAAUCUAUUUUUUUUUUCUUGACUAGUA
This is a long non-coding RNA of Dromiciops gliroides (monito del monte), 226 nucleotides long. RefSeq lists it as uncharacterized. The transcript has 2 exons. NCBI's taxonomy places the organism in Eukaryota, Metazoa, Chordata, Mammalia, Microbiotheria, Microbiotheriidae. The record is from RefSeq and is a predicted model, not a curated record.